RNAcentral lists this long non-coding RNA (209 nucleotides) under Lathyrus oleraceus (garden pea). RNAcentral's name for it is "Pisum sativum (pea) long non-coding RNA (PSAT_LNC020589)". Lineage: Eukaryota; Viridiplantae; Streptophyta; Magnoliopsida; Fabales; Fabaceae. The record is from RNAcentral.
UCGAAUACAUCAGAUUCAGAAUUGGUGGAGAAAUGGUCAUUAUGUUCAAUGUAGCCCUUUUCCAAUAUAUAUCACCAAUUUCAAAUUUGAAAAGAUCUAUGGAGUCCUGCCAUUUGCAGACUACCAUUCCAUCAAAUAAAUUUGAGCCCUUAUCCAAUUAUUUGCACUCUUGUUUUUUUCUAUUCAAUAAAUGUUUUGCAUGUUUUAAU